GCAAGGAUCCCCAUGCCAGUGAGUACGCCCUCUAGAUCAUUUAUGAUCAGAUGGAGUGGGUAUCAAGUACACUUAAACAAGUAGCUCAAGACACCCAGCCAAGCCACGCCCCCACGGGACACAGCAGUAAUAAAAAUUAAGCAAUGAACGAAAGUUCGACUUAGUCAUACAAUCAAGGGUUGGUAAAUUUCGUGCCAGCCACCGCGUCAUACGAUUAACCCAAGUUAAUAAACCUACGGCGUAAAGGGUGUUUAGGAAUAACCAUCAUAAUAAGAUUAAAUUUUAUCUAAGUUGUAGAACACUACAGAUAAAAUUAAACUCAGUUAACCCCAACGAAAGUAAUCUUACCACAUCUGAACACACGAAAACUAAGGCCCAAAGCUUAGUUGUAAACAUAGGAUAUUCAAAUAACAAAUAUCCCGCCAGAGAACUACAAGCCACAGCUUAAAACUCAAAGGACUUGGCGGUGCUUUAUACCCACCUAGAGGAGCCUGUUUCAUAAUCGAUAAACCCCGAUAAACCUUACCGCCCCUCGCUAAUCCAGUCUAUAUACCGCCAUCUUCAGCAAACCCUAAAAAGGAUGAACAGUGAGCAUAAUCAUGAAACCAUAAAAACGUUAGGUCAAGGUGUAACCCAUGGGGCGGGGAAAAUGGGCUACAUUUUCUUGUUAAGAACAGUUCUACGAUUACCAUUAUGAAAUCUAAUGGUCUAAGGAGGAUUUAGUAGUAAAUUAAGAAUAGAGAGCAUUAUUG
This 752-nucleotide ribosomal RNA is filed under the name Petromus typicus (dassie-rat). Its description in RNAcentral is "12S rRNA". Lineage: Eukaryota; Metazoa; Chordata; Mammalia; Rodentia; Petromuridae. The record is from RNAcentral.